GACGCUAAGCGCGCGAAGGUCAGGUGGGUGGGUCGUCACUUCCAGGAUCCAGUUUUACAGGAUUUGAGAACUCACAUUUCCAAAGAUGCAAGACUGCUUUAAACCUUUUGGGGAAGUCAGUUUUGUACUAGAAGCUGUAUCGUGUCCAAGAUUUUAUAAAAGCUUAAUUUGUGUUGACAGUCUGUGAACACCUGUAUCAGGUGCACUGCUGUCCACACAGCCUGCAGGUCCCGGGUCCUCUGUGUGAGGUGCACUGCCGUCCACACAGCCUGCUGGUCCCGGGUCCUCUGUGUGAGGUGCACUCCUGUCCACACAGCCUGCCGGUCCCGGGUCCUCUGUGUGAGGUGCACUGCCGUCCACACAGCCUGCCGGUCCCGGGUCCUCUGUGUGAGGUGCACUGCCGUCCACACAGCCUGCCGGUCCCGGGUCCUCUGUGUGAGGUGCACUGCCGUCCACACAGCCUGCCGGUCCCGGGUCCUCUGUGUGAGGUGCACUCCUGUCCACACAGCCUGCCGGUCCCGGGUCCUCUGUGUGAGGUGCACUGCCGUCCACACAGCCUGCCGGUCCCGGGUCCUCUGUGUGAGGUGCACUGCCGUCCACACAGCCUGCCGGUCCCGGGUCCUCUGUGUGAGGUGCACUCCUGUCCACACAGCCUGCCGGUCCCGGGUCCUCUGUGUGAGGUGCACUGCCGUCCACACAGCCUGCCGGUCCCGGGUCCUCUGUGUGAGGUGCACUGCCGUCCACACAGCCUGCCGGUCCCGGGUCCUCUGUGUGAGGUGCACUGCCGUCCACACAGCCUGCUGGUCCCGGGUCCUCUGUGUGAGGUGCACUGACCCAUUUAGCCCGAGGGCGGAGCCGGCCGCGGUGUGACUUCCCCCAGGACCACACAGCUGGUGCCUGUGAGAUCAGUCUGUGGCUGGAGGCUCUCUGGCACGAAGGACUCAUGGAGUCUGAGAAUUCUGCCUCCUUUCUGAGCCUCCGAUGCACGGUGGGUUCAGCCUGGGACCUGGCUGCUGCUUCACCCCACCCCUAACUCAGCCGUCCACUCUUGAGUGCCUCCGUGAGAACCACUGGCCGCGGGGCUCCUCCUGGGGCCGGGCUCAGCCUUGGCGUGGAGGCUGCCUGCGCGUGCUGGGAGCACCACUGGCCGCGGGGCUCCUCCUGGGGCCGGGCUCAGCCUUGGCGUGGAGGCUGCCUGCGCGUGCUGGGAGCACCACUGGCCGCGGGGCUCCUCCUGGGGCCGGGCUCAGCCUUGGCGUGGAGGCUGCCUGCGCGUGCUGGGAGCACCACUGGCCGCGGGGCUCCUCCUGGGGCCGGGCUCAGCCUUGGCGUGGAGGCUGCCUGCGCGUGCUGGGAGCACCACUGGCCGCGGGGCUCCUCCUGGGGCCGGGCUCAGCCUUGGCGUGGAGGCUGCCUGCGCGUGCUGGGGGAACCACUGGCCGCAGGGCUCCUCCUGGGGCUGGGCUCAGCCUUGGCGUGGAGGCUGCCUGCGCGUGCUGGGAGCAGGACCCUCCCUAAGGAGUGAUGGGGAGGCUUGUGGGGGGAUCCUGUCACAGUGGGGGUCAAGGUGAGGUUUUCCCUUAACACAGCAUUCUAAGUGGUGGGGAAUUCCUUGCAAUACCUGAUGCACCGUAGACGCCAUUAGGUGUGAUUUAGAGGAUUUCUUGGGUUCGGUCUGGGAAGGUGGAACUGUGGCUUGUAAAGUUGCUUCUGUGGAAAAAUGGAACCCUGGGAAUCUAGCAGUGUCUCCAGAACACUUUCCAAAUAAAACCCACCUGUCAGCUGAUCGCUCACGUUUCGUCACAUCUAUUGAAAGUAGAACUUCACAGGCUCUUUGGGGAUGGUCUCGUUAUUGUAUCAAGUUUCGUUUCCCAUUUAUUUGAGAAUUUUUAAUUUAUUUUUUUAUUUGAAAUACAAUCAGAGCUCUCAACAGAGCUCCCACCUGCUGGUUCAGGCUGCAAGUGCUGGGCCACGCUAGAAGCCGGGAGCUCCAUCCGGGUCUUCCACGUGGGAGGCAGGCGGAGCCAUUGCCACUGCUUCCUAGGGUGUGCGUUAGCAGAAAGCCGGAGCUGGGAGCCGAGCCAGGCCUCGAACCCGGGCACUCCAGGGUGUCCCAAUGGCAUCAUAUCCAUUACGCCAGACACCCACCCUCCCCCGUUCCAGUUUAUUCUGUGCUGGCUCCGUGCUCUCCUAAUGAGUGAUGAUGCACACAUCUGGCUGCUGCUGAGGGCCAGCUGCCGACGUGAGGGCCUCAGGCAGUGGCAGUGCCAGGCUUACGUCUCUCUCACAGCCCGAAUCCGGCUUCCACACUGUCACGUGUCUGCCAGACCCACUCCUCCACUCCCUGUGACAUGUUCCGGGCUCGGGGCUCUUUCUCCUCGUGUUCUAGCACUCCCUCCCCCAUGCACCCCUGGAGGUUGGGACCCAGUUGGGAUUCAAGUGUUUGAGGGCGCCCUUGCUUUGUGUGUGUCCGUGGGACACCUUGCUGUGCAGGUGCGGGGGCCGAGCAUUGCAGGGCGUCCGAUGCGUGUAUGGAGUUGGGGACGUCUCAGCCGUGAUAUCGUGAUUCUAACAGGCUGCAGGUUCCCAGGAAACAUGGGGACCGUUUUCUGGAGACCUCGUUUCUUAGCGUGUUUGUUGCUUUCAGUGGUUUUGAGAAAAAUAAAUAAAGCAAUUAUUGUUUGCAGGGUUGAGAGAGAAGGAGGGAGGGAGGAAGAGAAAGAGGUGUCCUCUUUCCACUGGUCACUCCCCAAACGCCCACAGCAGCCAGGGCUGGGCCUGACCAGAGCCAGGAGCAGAGCCCUGGGCACUCGGUUGAGGUGUCCCACGUGGGUGACAGGGACCCGAGGACUUGAGCCACCACCCGCUGCUUCUCAGGUGCAUGUCGCCGGAAUCUGCGAUCCGGGGUGGAGCCAGGACUGCGCCAGGCCCUCUGAUGGGGUGCGGGUGUCUGAGCGCCACCUCAGUCGCUGCCAGCUCCCUGUCCCUGUUUGAACUCGGCCUGUGAAGCUGUCAAAGCUGUGGUUUAUGACCUCUGGCUUUUAUUCUGGGGACACAGGAAAUUGUGGUUUGGGACUCAGGUGGACUGAGCAGAUGAGGCCAGAUUAGGAGCGGGGCUGAGGUGAGCAGCCGAGUCUGGCUUCAGGGCGCUCGUGUGUGACCCUGGGGCCAGUGCUGUGCGGUCUGGGGUCGGGCUGAGCUGGGGCUCCCCUGCCCCUGGGAAGAGGCCUGGCAGGCCUUGGAGCACAGCUUCGAGAAGCUCUGUGUGUGUGUGUGUGUCUGAGAGAGAGAGGGAGAGAGGGAGAGAGAGAGAGACACCCUGGGGCCAAUGCUGUGCGGUCUGGGGUCGGGCUGAGCUGGGGCUCCCCUGCCCCUGCGAAGAGGCCUGGCAGGCCUUGGAGCACAGCUUCGAGAGGCUCGUGUGUGUGUGUGUGCGCAUGCGCGCGCACGUGUGCAUGUGACCCUGGAGGCUCCCCUGCUGUGCCCCCGGGAGGAGGCCUUGGAGCACAGGUUUGGGACUUGCCGGGUGGCAGCUGUAUGUCCCUCUGCCCGGUGCACCUGCUUUCCUGUCUGUGAAGCGUGGCUGCGGCUCUGAGCCCUCGUGCCUUCCUCUGGGCCGCAGGCCUCUCCUGUGGGCUGCUGGUGAUGUCAGUCAUGGGAGAAGCCCAGCGGCCUGGCCCUUCUGAAAGCAAGCUCCGACUGCCCUUCCCCUCACCCUGCCCGUCCUCAGGCUUGGGGGCGCCUGGAGUCUCCGCUCCUCGCAGGUGGGCUGGAACUUCGGGCAUCGCUGGUGCUCACGGGAGGAUGGAUGCCAGGGCUGCUUGCCAGGAGCCCCUGCUCCUGCCAGCUUCCCAGGGGAGCAGGUGUGCGCCUGUGCUCACAGAGCAGCGUUCCUUGGGUCUGAUGCUGACGCCAUUCCCGUUGCCUGU
Oryctolagus cuniculus (rabbit) is the source of this 3929-nucleotide non-coding RNA. The record is from RefSeq and is a predicted model, not a curated record. NCBI's taxonomy places the organism in Eukaryota, Metazoa, Chordata, Mammalia, Lagomorpha, Leporidae.